RNAcentral lists this ribosomal RNA (434 nucleotides) under uncultured bacterium. RNAcentral's name for it is "bacterial SSU rRNA". It matches the Rfam family "Bacterial small subunit ribosomal RNA", at positions 355 to 786 of the family's 1533-position model. The record is from RNAcentral.
UGAGGAAUAUUGGUCAAUGGGCGGGAGCCUGGACCAGCCAAGCCGCGUGAGGGAGGAAGGCCCUAUGGGUCGUAAACCUCUUUUGUCAGGGAACAAAAGCGAGUAUGUAUACUAGUCUGAGUGUACCUGAAGAAAAAGCAUCGGCUAACUCCGUGCCAGCAGCCGCGGUAAUACGGAGGAUGCGAGCGUUAUCCGGAUUUAUUGGGUUUAAAGGGUGCGUAGGCGGCGGUGCAAGUCAGCGGUAAAAGCCCGGGGGCUCAACCCCGGCGAGCCGUUGAAACUGCAGUGCUAGAGAAGGCGAGAGGUACGCGGAAUGCGCAGUGUAGCGGUGAAAUGCUUAGAUAUUGCGCAGAACUCCGAUUGCGAAGGCAGCGUACUGGCGCCUGACUGACGCUGAGGCACGAAAGCGUGGGGAUCGAACAGGAUUAGAUACC